GAUGAACGCUGGCGGCGUGCCUAAUACAUGCAAGUCGAGCGAACAGACGAGGCGCUUGCUCCUUUGACUUUAGCGGCGCACGGGUGAGUAACAUGUGUAUAACCCACCUAUAUGACUGGGAUAACUUCGUGAAACCGGAGCUAAUACCCGAUAACCUGCUGAACCGCAUGGUUCAACAGUUAAAGACGUCUUUGCUGCCACUUAUCGCUGGUUCCGCGCCGCAUUAGCUAGUUGGUAAGGUAACGGCUUACCAAGGCGACGAUGCGUAGCCGAGCUGAGAGGGUGAUCGGCCACACUGGAACUGAGACACGGUCCAGACUCCUACGGGAGGCAGCAGUAGGGAAUCUUCCGCAAUGGGCGAAAGCCUGACGGAGCAACGCCGCGUGAGUGAAGAAGGUCUUCGGAUCGUAAAGCUCUGUUAUUGGGGAAGAACAGAUGUGUAAGUAACUAUGCACGUAUUGACGGUACCUGAUCAAAAAGCCACGGCUAACUACGUG
RNAcentral lists this ribosomal RNA (497 nucleotides) under uncultured bacterium. RNAcentral describes it as "partial 16S ribosomal RNA". It matches the Rfam family "Bacterial small subunit ribosomal RNA", at positions 28 to 507 of the family's 1533-position model. The record is from RNAcentral.